Mus musculus (house mouse) is the source of this 669-nucleotide long non-coding RNA. RefSeq annotates it as predicted gene, 53875. The record is from RefSeq and is a predicted model, not a curated record. The transcript has 3 exons. Lineage: Eukaryota; Metazoa; Chordata; Mammalia; Rodentia; Muridae.
CACUCUCUGCAGCUGACAGAUGUGAAAGGAGUUCCUGCAGGAGGAAUGAAAACCAGGCUCAGGAUUCCAGAAAAUAUCCUUCAUGUCCACCACUUUACACAAAGUCAUCAUUGAAGAGGUUAGGACAGAAACUCGGGCCAGAAACCCAAACAGGGUAUAGACCUGAACACAGGACAGCUGAAAAUGCCUGACAAUGUUGCCGCUUUCCAGGAAACUCGUAGGCACCACAGACCCCAGGUCAGUGUCUUGACCAACCAUCAUCAGAGAAGCUGUAGAUGGGAACAAAUACAGAGACCCACAACUGGACAAUGUGCAGAGAGCAAGACCACUGAACACUCCACCCUAAAUGAGGUGUCUCCAUCAAUUCUUUCCCCUUGUGUCGGAGGGAACACUUGUGUGUGAGAACACACUGUGAAAGAGGAUAUGAAAAGAUUGUAAGAACCAGAGGAGAUGAAAAACAUCAAUGAGACACUGCCACCUAAACACAGCAGGACCAAUGUACACAAGAGACUGUGGCAAGGUACACAGGGUCUGCACAGGCCUGGACCUAAUGGGGUCCCAGUGUCCUGAACCCCAAUUUAGAACCAGUUAAUAGACACUAGCAAAUGAAAAAUUAGUUUCUUUCAAUAGUGAGCUGGGUGCACAAACCACUCUUAAGUGUAGGCCCCA